AUAUAUAUAAUUAGGCCUGGGUACUAUUAAUAGGAAAACGCUCUUUUUGCUAUCAAGUUUUUAACCCUUGGAUGAAAAAUUGUAGGGUCAGGAUGAUAUUAGUCGGUUAGAGUUGAGUGGUCCCCCUAGGGUUGAGUGAUCCCCACUGGGUUAUAGUAUUUAAUCCAAUGGUAAGAAAUAAUGAAAAGAGUUGAUCCAAAGGCUAAAAAACUGAUAGCAACAAUGAGAUUUUGCUACUAGUAGUAGCCCAGUCCAACUCUAUAUAUAUAUAUAUAUAUAUUACUAUACUAACAAUAAUACUAAACGCUUAAUACUAUCGAAUUUUCAAAAAUAAUUAAGAAAUAAAUCUAACAGUAAAAAAUUUGAUAGUAUAAAAAAUUUUAUUGAUAACAAUCCGACUCUUUCUAUAUAUAUAUAUAUAUAUGUGUUUUCUUGUUUAAUGGUGUAAAGAUAUCCAAAUCAAUUAAAUUUUUGUUAAAAAGUUCUUUAAACUAUUUAAAACAAGAUCUAUACUCUUGAUCUUGAUUACAAGACUCAUAUCAUCAUUUUUUUAGGAAUAUUCAUUUUCAGCCGUUUAUUUUUAUGUCCACCCGAUGGAUAAAAGAACAAUAUCGAAAAUAUAUGAAAUUUGAUUUCUAAACACUUCAAGUAGUAUAGAUCAUAUUCAACGGUGCUGAUCGUCGAUUGGAGGAUCCAUCAUCGAAAACAAAUGGGUGGCAACGAAGCCCGUUUGCUAUCGAUAAUAUUCUAGCUCAACUAUAUAUAUAUAUAUAUAUAAAAUUGAGCUAGAAUACUUUUAGAAAUAUCAUCCCUUUGGUACUUUUAGGUUUCAAGUCCUUAGAUCUACUCCUUGAGCUGGUAUGCUUCUGGAAGUACGGAGUCUUCCGUGCUUCCAAGUCGUUUUCGAUGUUGGGAUUUUCGAAUCUACGAUCGGCUCCGUUAGAGUUUGAUCUAGAGUAGGGAUGUCAAUGAGCCUGGAUAUUCGAAAUUUUAACUGAACUUGAACCCGAAUAAAACGGAUAUAUCCGAUGGAUAUGGAUAUGGAUUCGGAUAUGGAUAUCAAAAAUAGAAACUCGACGGAUAUAAAUUCGGAUAUGGAUUUUGAUUGUACCCGACCCGAACCCGAAUUUAUUUUGUAUUAUAUAUAACAUAUAUAUAAAAAUUUGAUGUUAUAUUUGAAUUUGUAUUUUAAAAAUUUAGAUUUAAUAUAAUAUAUUUUGAAAUAUUGAAAAAAGAAAUAAUUAUUUCGGGUACAAAUUUUCGUGUUCGGGUUCGGGUUCGGGUUUCGGAUUUUUUGUCGGGUUCGGAUUUGGAUAUGGAUUUUUAAAUUCCGUCGGGUUCGUGUUCGGGUUCGGGUCUCGGGUUUGGAGUCGGGUUCGGUUUCGGGUUUUUAAAAAUCCGCUCCAAAUCCGACCCGUUGACAUCUCUAAUCUAGAGUAUUUGAAGUACUCGAAAAAUAAAUUUUGUGAUUUUGCAAUAUCAUUUGCCUAGUGAUCGAAGGGGCUCAAAAUCAAUAAUUUUAAUGGCCGUGGUGAGCCGUUUGCAAGUUUAACGCUGUAAAAAUAUCCAAAUCAUGUGAAAUUUUGAUAGAAAAUUCUUUAUACUAUAUAAAACAAGAUCAAUAAUU
Molecule: long non-coding RNA, 1627 nt
Filed under: Ananas comosus (pineapple)
Lineage: Eukaryota; Viridiplantae; Streptophyta; Magnoliopsida; Poales; Bromeliaceae
Description: long non-coding RNA (ACOM_LNC015926)
Source: RNAcentral